AUGGCUGUCGUCAGCUCGUGUCGUGAGAUGUUGGGUUAAGUCCCGCAACGAGCGCAACCCUCGUUCUAUGUUGCCAGCGGGUUAUGCCGGGGACUCAUAGGAGACUGCCGGGGUCAACUCGGAGGAAGGUGGGGAUGACGUCAAAUCAUCAUGCCCCUUAUGUCUUGGGCUUCACGCAUGCUACAAUGGCCAGUACAAAGGGCUGCGAUACCGCAAGGUGGAGCGAAUCCCAAAAAACUGGUCUCAGUUCGGAUUGGGGUCUGCAACUCGACCCCAUGAAGUCGGAGUCGCUAGUAAUCGCAGAUCAGCAACGCUGCGGUGAAUACGUUCCCGGGCCUUGUACACACCGCCCGUCACACCACGGGAGUGAGCAACACCCGAAGCCGGUGGCCCAACCCGCAAGGGAGGGAGCCGUCGAAGGUGGGGCUCGUGACUGGGGUGAAGUCGUAACAAGGUAGCCGUAGCGGAAGCUGCGGCUGGAUCACCUCCUUUCUAGGGAGCAUCUACGCGAUGCCCCGAUCCUGGGCCUAUCGAAAGAUAGGCCCGCGCGGUCGCCGCGCCCGCCUGUGCCCAGUAUGGGUACAGUGGCCGGCGAUGUCUAAGCGGAUCGGGCCUAGCAUGUCGACCGAGCCUGGCUGGAUGGCCCUGUGCCGCGCGUCUCCCUUACUACUUGGGGAGCUCAACCGGCCCUGGCCGCAACGACCCCAGCAUGCUGUUGAGUUUUGAGAGACCGGCGUUGGCCGGUCCCCGCGAGGACGCACCGCUCAUCGGUGUGAUCAAUCAGCGUGGCGGGCAGCCAACGUUAUACGCCUCUCCACGGUCCUUGAAAACUGCACAGAAGCCACAUCAGCCGCCAUCGAUAAGCGGCGGCUGAAAAACGGGUAUCACCGGGCCCUCCGUGACCGCAGUGCCCCGCAAGGGGUAUCGGGUCAUGUUGGGCCAGAUCACCGUCAAGAUAGUAAGGGCACACGGUGGAUGCCUUGGCACCAAGAGUCGAUGAAGGGCGUGAACGGCUGCGAUAAGCCACGGUUAGGCGCUUAAUAGCCUUUGACCCGUGGAUGCCCGAAUGGGGAAACCCGG
Molecule: small RNA, 1080 nt
Filed under: uncultured Actinomycetales bacterium
Lineage: Bacteria; Bacillati; Actinomycetota; Actinomycetes; Actinomycetales
Description: bacterial SSU rRNA
Rfam family: Bacterial small subunit ribosomal RNA (bases 1-492)
Source: RNAcentral